GACGAACGCUGGCGGCGUGCUUAACACAUGCAAGUCGAACGGAAAGGCCCUGCUUUUGUGGGGUGCUCGAGUGGCGAACGGGUGAGUAACACGUGGGUAACCUGCCCUUGACUUUGGGAUAACUUCAGGAAACUGGGGCUAAUACCGGAUAGGAGCUCCUGCUGCAUGGUGGGGGUUGGAAAGUUUCGGCGGUUGGGGAUGGACUCGCGGCUUAUCAGCUUGUUGGUGGGGUAGUGGCUUACCAAGGCUUUGACGGGUAGCCGGCCUGAGAGGGUGACCGGCCAAAUGGGGACUGAGAGACGGCCCAGGCCCCUAGGGGGGGGAGGAGGGGGGAAUUUUGAAAAAUGGGCGGAAGCCUGAUGACGCAACGCCGGGGGCGGGAGGACGGCCUUCGGGUUGUAAACCGCUUUCGCCUGGGACGAAGGGGGAGGGACGGUAAUGGGUAAAGAAGCACCGGCUAACUACGU
Molecule: ribosomal RNA, 467 nt
Filed under: uncultured bacterium
Lineage: Bacteria
Description: partial 16S ribosomal RNA
Rfam family: Bacterial small subunit ribosomal RNA
Source: RNAcentral